Molecule: unclassified non-coding RNA, 237 nt
Filed under: Glomeraceae sp.
Lineage: Eukaryota; Fungi; Glomeromycota; Glomeromycetes; Glomerales; Glomeraceae
Description: partial contains 5.8S ribosomal RNA and internal transcribed spacer 2
Rfam family: 5.8S ribosomal RNA (bases 1-71)
Source: RNAcentral
GUGAAUCAUCGAAUUUUUGAACGCACAUUGCACUCCCUGGUAUUCCGGGGAGUAUGCCUGUUUGAGGGUCGUUUGUAGCAUCAUCGACGCAUUGCUCUUUUUUUUGAGGUUGAUCGCGUCGGUGUUGAGCCGUCUUUCAACUGUUAAUUGCUGUCGAAGUGGCUUAAGAUUCAUCUAUCUGGUACGAUUAAAGCGUAUUAAAGAUAAGUUUUGAUUAAGAAUGUGCGAUGACGUACC